RNAcentral lists this long non-coding RNA (406 nucleotides) under Solanum tuberosum (potato). RNAcentral describes it as "long non-coding RNA (STUB_LNC009058)". Lineage: Eukaryota; Viridiplantae; Streptophyta; Magnoliopsida; Solanales; Solanaceae. The record is from RNAcentral.
CCUCUUAUAUUAAAAAAAAAUUCAAAUAUUUCAUCAGCUAUUAGAAAUGACUCAUUCACCUAAUUCGUUGUUGGGUAUUUACCUUGAUUUUCAAGCAGAAUAAUAGGUUUUCCUUUUCCUAAAAGUAAAGGACAAAGUCUUCAUAUUUGGCUAGUCAUUUUUCUUAUAGAAAAAUGUUUAUCACUCUAUAAAUAGAGGUUCAUUCAUUUUAACUUGAUAACAUUCACAAUGAAGCCCUAGAGGCUUUGCGAGUUUUGUUUAAGGGGAGAAUUAUUGGGAUACAAAUGAUAUAUUUAUCACUUAGGUGAACUUUUUUUUUUAUUACUAGUGAAUUGUGUGAGAUUAUUUCUCUCAAUAUUUUGUACUCUCAUAUUUAUAUAGUGAAUUGUUCAUCUUCUUUUGUGGA